CGCUAGCGUAUCUAGUCUAUGUAUAUCUGUGGUCUGCACGUCUGGUAGCGUCUCUGGCUGCUGUUGAUCUUGGUUUUGGAGUAAAACACGGUGGAAGCUGAAUUAGUGAGGAUGACUCCUGCUCCUGUCAUCUCUAAGCUCCUCACACAUCUUUACCUGCACAUGAGGAAAAUCACUCCUGUAGAAUGCAGUGGUUCAUCAGAACCUCUGGGGAUGUCCUGUGGAUUCUGUGGAUCCUGUGGGUUGCAGGGUGGAUCCUACCUAGACCAGGCUGAUCCUGGACCAUCCCACAGAUGCUCAAUCAGAUCUGGAUGUGGGGAGUGUGGAACCCAGAUGUUCAGAGGGAGAUGAUGCCACAUCUGGUCCAGCUGAUGGAAGGUCUUGAAGUUCUCUGACUGGCCUCGACUGAAGAUGGUCGUCUCACUGGAUUUAAGGUUCAGAUGCUCAGUAACAAACUCCACCAAUGAGCCAACAGGGAAGCUUUAGGUUUAUUAAAUGUUGCUAUGAAGGUAUCGCUGUUUUUCUUUGUGAAUGCAAUGUGUUCCAACUGAAACUUGAAUUAGAACUUAGAAGUAAAUCCUUCCAUCUGAAAGGAUUUAGUUGCAUUAAUAACCUCAUAACAUUCUAAUUUUUAUUCCAGUCUUGGUUGGAAAUAGAAUCUCUGUAUUGAUUCAGGUAAAAACUGAACUUCACAGCAUGUUGAAGCAAAACAACCAGAUGAAAACUGUGAUGGUGUUGGAUUGUCAGACUGUAAUGUUGCAGCUCAAAGCAGCUUUUCUAGCUCAGUUCAGUUCAGUUGGAGCUGCUUUGCACUUUUUACACUGUUUAUUCACCAACACUUUAUUUAAUAAAAGUCCCAUCUAGUUUUUAUGAGGAAUGUGAUGUUUUAAUUUCUCUGUGAAUAACUGCAGUCUAAUGCAACAGCUGGAAUUGUAACAUCUGUCCUGAUAUUGAUCAUGAAGUAUUGAUCAGAAUACUUAUGGUUAGCAGUCAUCCCUGAAGUUUUACAUUAAAAUCUUUACUUGUGUUGUGAACUUUGGUAAGAAGCAGAAACGUUAGCGUUGCCAUGGAUACAUGAGUGUUAAAUUCUGUCCAUGUUUCCAUUUUGGGAAAUUCAGUCCAGUUCCAGAAUGUGGAGGAAUUUAGUCUCACAAUCACAGACAACAAAUAUUAUCUGAAAGUCGGGUUAUUGUUGUUUAUCAGCACAAUACAAAAAGAUUAAUGUUAGAAAUAUUCCAGUUCAGACUCUAGAAUAUCAUGAUUUAUGUAAAUUUACCUCAAUAAUAUGAAUGUUCAGGUUAAGAUUGUACAGUGAUAUUUAUUAUGCAAGUUUAGCUGAUUAAAGUUUAUGACUCUGCACUAAAAUAUUAUUUAAAUUGACAUCAUUAUUAUAAUAUUAAGGGUCAGACCCUACAGUAUUGAGAUUAAGAAAUCAAAUAUUCUAUAAAAUGUAAAUACACUGAACUCAUUUGGAUAUAUUUAAGUGAGACUCUACAAUAUUAUUUGACACAAAUCUAUCUAAAUCAAAAUUUUAAUAAUUUUCACGCCGAACAUUUACUGGACUGAUUUAAACAUUAAAAUCACUCCUUUCUAAUCCUCUGCUGUACAUUCAAACCUGAGGCCUUAAAUAGAAACACACAAGUAUCUGAUUGAAGGAACUUCUGCAGAGUCCUGGUUCCAGAACAUGAUGAUAGAAUUAUAGACAAACUUUAACAAAAGCUGCCUGAGAGUUUACAGGUUUUUAUGUUAGAUUUCUUCAGUAAUUUAAUGAGCGUUAUCAGCAAAAAUCAAGUGUUCAUUUGAUGAACUUCAUUUCCUAAAACAUCCAGACUUGGAGCUCAUAUCUUUGGCAGCUGUAAAGUUUCUGCUCCUUCAAAGUUCACAACACAAUGAAUGAAUUCCUGAAACGCUCUCAAUGCUGGAGAGCGUUUGUGAUGCUGAAGCAGUGAUCAGUUUUUCUGUUUCUUCUCUGGAGAUGCACAAUGAGGGACGUCUGCAGAGACUGAGAAAGAGUCUCACCACAUCCUGACAUGAGGAAAAAGACUUUAUUGAAGACUACAAUGAGAAAAACUAUCAGACAGCAGACGGCUGCAUUCAAGUCUGUAGCUGCUGAAUUCAUGGAUGAAUCAUCUGGCACUAGAGAGGAAGACCAUCAAACAUCCACGUCAGCUGAUGGAGGUCCAAGAGUCUCACCGAACAACCAACCUACAGAGUGAAGACCUCAAAUCUGAUUGGACGGCCUCCUAUUCAGCCACGUGUGAACAAAUGCCUCUAAGUUGAUUUAUUUUCUACAAUAAAUCUAGUUUGAGUCCUAAUCUAUGCCUGAGUGUUUGCUUCUUGACACCGCUGUUAACAGUUUAGGCUGUUAGAUUGUUCCAGAUAAGACAAGUACAAGAUUCUUCAGAGGC
Molecule: long non-coding RNA, 2408 nt
Organism: Amphiprion ocellaris (clown anemonefish)
Lineage: Eukaryota; Metazoa; Chordata; Actinopteri; Pomacentridae
Source: Ensembl